This 1226-nucleotide long non-coding RNA is filed under the name Sus scrofa (pig). Its description in RNAcentral is "lncRNA (ENSSSCG00070014860.1)". Lineage: Eukaryota; Metazoa; Chordata; Mammalia; Artiodactyla; Suidae. The record is from RNAcentral.
CCUCACCCUCAGCAUAUGGAAGUUCCCCGGCUAGGGGGGGAAUCUGGGCCAUAACUCUGAGCCGUGUCUGCAACCUACACCACCAAACAUGGAAAAAAGCUCAGGGUAAUGCCAGAUCCUUAAGCCACUGAGUGAGGCCAGGGAUAGAACCAGCCUCCUCAUGGAUACUAGUUAGGUUCUUUACUCCUGAGCCAAAACGGCAACUCCUAGGGUCUCAUUUCUUCAUAGAAUUUCUAUGCAUACUUAGGUAAUGAAAACCGACCAGGUGUUUUUUUUUUUUUUGGUUGUUAAUUUGUCUUUUCUCACUUUAAUUUCCAGGGCCCCAACAGGAGAAUCUUGCAGGGGAGAGGGAAACAUUUUUUUCUUUUCCUGAAUUAGAAUCAGCAGCUUUCCAGGUCCUCCCUGUCCGUCUCCACCUGCCUUCUGACCUGGGAGGCUGACCUGAGCGGCCUGAAUCAGCUCUUGGCUGAUGGGGCUCCAGGAAGGGGCAAGGAAUGUGAGGUGAGGGUCUUUGCUUGUGGCUUCCCUACUGGGUCUCUUUUUUUUUUUUUUUUUUUGUCUUUUUUUGUCUUUUUGUUGUUGUUGUUGCCAUUUCUUGGGCCGCUCCCUCGGCAUAUGGAGGUUCCCAGGCUAGGGGUCCAAUCGGAGCUGUAGCCACCAGCCUACGUCAGAGCCACAGCAACACGGGAUCCGAGCCGCGUCUGCAACCUACACCACAGCUCACGGCAACGCCGGAUCCUUAACCCACUGAGCAAGGGCAGGGACUGAACCCGCAACCUCAUGGUUCCUAGUCGGAUUCGUUAACCACUGCGCCACGACGGGAACUCCCCUACUGGGUCUCUUAAAGCUGGCAGGAUCCCUGCAUACAAGAUCCCAGCUCCUCUCCAGGAGAGCUUCGCCAGGCAGCUUUUUUUGAGUUCCUCUCUCUGGGUUUUGUUAACCAUUCUCUCACUCACCUCUUAAGGCCCAGGCCACCGAGCCCUCCUGACCCCUUCCUCUGUCCGUCCCUCACUUUGGUACAGAAUCUUUACUUAAUCUGUUGGGACUCUCCUAAUUGGAGCGAGCCAUCUGUUUCCUGUUUCCUGCUGCGAUGUGUCUGACUCAACUCGACACACACUCUUAAUAGAGGCAACCAGAUUGUCACCAGACUGUAGUUGGAAUGAUUUGCUCUGUUGAUCCUGGUGGCUGAACAGCCCAGAUAUACUGGUCUGGCUGACAGGCUCACU